UCUAGCUGCGCCUCGGUAAGGCCAAAUUAAAACGUGCCAAGCGUUUCAAUGCGGUCGCUUGGCUGCGAGAAGUUCAUUACUACAAGGACAGCUCAGCGGCGUUGAAUUGGACAUUAAUGCUUUCACAUCCACAACUCGUAAGAAGUGCUUAGGAAGAUUAAAUUUGAAGCGCAAGACGACGAAUACUCACCGGGCGUCCGAGCUGUGCGUGGUGGCAAGGGAACAUCUGGUGGCAGCGAGCCGCCUCCACCACCUCCACCACUUCCACCACCUCCAACAUCGCCGCCACCAAAAAUGUCCGCUCCUUCCGGCUCUUCAGCUGCACACAGAGGGAGAAUGGGAACUCAACGAACGAUGCCGCAAGACGAGGACGGUUGAUUGAGCGAGAAUGCCGUGUGACACUAGCCAAUGGUGCAGUGGACUGCAGGGGCUUCCCCCUGCAAGGAUAAUGGCCCACCCGAAUACUAAUAAAUCUUUCAUUCUCUGUCUCUGAGGGGGAA
Dermacentor andersoni is the source of this 500-nucleotide non-coding RNA. The record is from RefSeq and is a predicted model, not a curated record. Lineage: Eukaryota; Metazoa; Arthropoda; Arachnida; Ixodida; Ixodidae.